RNAcentral lists this long non-coding RNA (2396 nucleotides) under Nicotiana benthamiana. RNAcentral describes it as "long non-coding RNA (NBEN_LNC029857)". The record is from RNAcentral. Lineage: Eukaryota; Viridiplantae; Streptophyta; Magnoliopsida; Solanales; Solanaceae.
CCGAUCCAAGAAUAACUGCGCGAAUUGACCCCAAAUGAGGGGAGGAGAACAUGCUGGCCUACCAAGAACAUAGGACUUCCAUCAUCUACGGGCCCUACCCUUUAGCUAAAAAGUAGUGAAUUCAACUCUAUGUUUCUCAAAUAUCCUCAUGUUGUGCAGUCUGAACCUGCACAUGUCGAUGAAGUCCUGAGCUCACCCCUGAAGACUGGAGGGUGAAGUCUAGUCCAUCUGUCUAAUAGCUUGUACAAGUCACCAUCCACACCAGAGAUUCAGGUAAAGGGGUUCAUUUGACUCGGGGAGAAGGUGUUAGGUACUCCCCAAGUCCCGUGAAGGUCACGGUUUCAUACUCGAUCAAGUUGGCUAUUAAAAUAUUCGAUUGAGGUUAAACAAACACAGAAAAAUAGACACACAAAAAGGCUCGAGACCAUCCUCACCUAAUAAAAGAAAAUAAAAAGGAAAAGAAAAAAAAAGUCCUGAGCUAACUUAUACUACGACUUCUCCACGAUGCUCAUCAAGGCCUCCAAAAUACUUACAUAGUUCUUCGGGGCAUACCCCGGAUAAUAAUAUUUACAAACUUCACGGGACAUUCCUCGGAUAAAUUUAACUGACAACCUCUUACCUCAAAACUAACAAAAUCCUAAAGUUCGUUUACCCAAGUGUUGCCAACCUAAGCAUGCUACUAGCGGGUAAAUAUGAAAAAUAGAAAUAAAUAAAGCUAAAUGACACAUUCAUUCUACGUGACUCUCGAAUGACCUUUCAUAUUAUUUAAUAUAAUCAUGCCCAAUUCCUAUAACGUGAAAGAAGAUCAAUUACUACUCCCAUGACCCAAGAAUUUUCAACAGUCCGAGCAACAAGUCAAGCUACUUAGUUUUUGUUGACUUAAUUCUUUUUCCAUCAAGAUAUGGAUUGUGAAGCUUUUUAAAGAAGAUAACGAACCAUGGAAACCAGAACUCAGUUUAGUUAUAAAAAUUUAUCUAAGUAGAUUAAACCAAACAAUACACAACCAAUAAUCAACAAAAUCACACUGGGUUCACCAAAUACUACUAAGACAUACCGGAACAGAGGAAUAAAAAAAAGAAGAGAACACCAAUUAACAAGGCCAUAACAAAAAUAGAAGCAUGAUGUUAAGCGAGUGAAAAGUCUAGAGAACAAAGAGAAAAUAAACCUUGAAUUGCGAUCGAACCGCAGAUCAAAUUUUAACCGGAAAGCCUUGCUUGAGAAAACCUCGGACGGCGUCUUCUUAAUCGAACUCCACGGUUUGAACACACUAAAAUUCCAAAAUUGAAACCAUUACGCUAAUGUUUUCUCUAACGAAAAAUCAGCAAUUACAAGUCUUUGAAUUCAGAACUCGAAGAAGAAAAUAGUGACAAGCAUCGGAGAGGAAACGCGAACAGAACGAUGGGCGAUAGCAAAUUCAAACCAAACUCCGCACCUCAAUCGCUCAAACCUCAAAUAACCUCCAUUUUCUGAAACUCGAAUUUCCAAUAAACAUGUCCGGUUAUGAUACAAGCCAAAAAUCGAACGAUGAACUCAGUAGGGACCAAAUGAAACAGUGACGAUCGAAUCUGGAACCACGAGCUCGAACCACAAACGACAACCAGAACUUCAAACAAGCACCACCAAAACUCAGUCACAUUCCAUUCUUAAAUCAAAAUCGGAAUCCCAGAGAAGAAACGAACUGAUUUUUUGUGUUUUUCUUUAAUAAUUUUCUGACUUUUAAAAAUAAAACCAGAACAAGAACCAACUCAUCUUUUUUGAUGACCCCUUUUUGUGAAAUUUCCAAACGAAAAAGAAAAGAAGAAAACUAUGCCAAAACGAACCCUAGAGCUUUUUCUCCGAAAUUCUUUUUUCAUUUUUUUCUAUCAAGAAAACCUCAAAAUAUAAAUCCCCUCUCGAAUCUUCUUCUCCUCUUCUCCAAGAAAUCUCGUGUGGGGACCUCCACAAAUUUGAAAAUCCCUUUUUGUAAAUAAAAAUCAGAAAAAUGGAAAUUUUGGACAAAGAAUGUUCAUCCAACUAUCCCCAUUCCUGCAAGAUUUAUUUAAGGGUCCGAAUUUGCUUCCAGAUUGAACGAAAAAGAAAGAAAAAUGCGUUCUUCAUGAUUACGAACACGUGGAAGAAGGAAAUAAGUGUAGAGAUGGGAAUAUGGGGUGACCCAUUGGGUGAACUCGCCAGGUUUGGGGCGAGUUCCGGCAAGUUGGGAGGCGGGCAGCGAUGGAGGGGUGGCGGUUGCUGGUUUUGUUAGUUUUUAGAUUAGGGUUUUUUGGGAGGAUAUGGGGAUUUUGUAUGAAUGUGAGGGGAUUUAACAUGGGCCUUUGGAUUAAUUAAAUCAGUGGCUUGGUUUAAAUGGGGAUUUUGGGCGGGUCAGUCUGGUAAGGAACUGGGUCGACGGAUUAGGU